Long non-coding RNA from Lytechinus pictus (painted urchin), 3605 nucleotides. RefSeq lists it as uncharacterized. The transcript has 4 exons. The record is from RefSeq and is a predicted model, not a curated record. NCBI's taxonomy places the organism in Eukaryota, Metazoa, Echinodermata, Echinoidea, Temnopleuroida, Toxopneustidae.
UCAGAUGUCAUAAGAAAGCCUACGAUGUCUCAAGGUUACCUUCAACAUCAGUCAUCAUAACGUUCCAUAAUGAAGCUCGGUCGACUUUAUUAAGGACCAUAGUUAGUGUUCUGAGUAGAAGUCCUCCGCAGCUUAUUGAAGAGGUCAUUCUGGUUGAUGAUUGCAGUGAUGACCCCAUUGAUGGAGAGGUUUUAACGAGUAUACCCAAAGUGAAGCUUAUACGCAACAACCUCAGGGAAGGUCUGAUCAGAUCAAGGAUAAGAGGAGCGGAUGCAGCGAAAGCCAGUGUUCUAACCUUUCUUGAUAGUCACUGUGAAGCCAAUACAGGAUGGCUACCUCCUCUCCUAGAACGAGUUGCUCAGGUUAGUAAAACACUUCCAUCCUUGCAGAAUAUAGGUGGUUUCAAACGGCCUCGAUCAUAAGAAUCCCCGUUAAAUUACGAGAACUUUUUUAGGCUAAAAAAUACCCAUUAAUUAUUUCUGCAUUCGCACCGCCCUGAAACAUACCCUUUGGGAUAAGUUCCUGAAGUUACGAGCAUGCGCAGUAUGGUCUGAUAAGCAGGCAAGGCGCGAGAUUCAAAAUCACUAGCUCAGCAGCCACCCACGGCGCCAGCGCCCAACUAAGGGCCAACUACACACUGGGCUAAAAGUUCCCGUAAAUUGCUUUCACAUUGCCAAAAUACCUGCGACCUUGGAAAAAUCCCCGCGAAAGUUCUCGUAAUUUUGACAAGUACCUACUAUUUAGUGGGUAUUUUCUUUUGGGGAGAUUACGCUUAAUUUGCUUUCACAUUGCCAAUAUUACCUUGUAUUUUCUGAUCAGGGUAAAUUUCCCGAUCAAAAAAUACCUGGAACUGACGAACUUCGAGGCGGUCUGAAACCACCUAAUGUCUAGUUUUAUUAGGAUUGAUUUUCUACAACAGGUUGCUUAGGGAAAGAAAAACAUCUCAGAAAACUAAACUGAGAAGUUUUGAGACAAUUUGUAUCACUUUUUAGAUUGUAAAAGGCCUCAUUUCAACCCAUAAGGAAAGCCCAUAUAUUGUCAUUUGAUUUGAAGAAAUCCCAAGAAUUUAUUAACAACAUAUUUAGAUUUUUUUUAUAUUUGCAUUUUCGUCUGUCAAAUGAGAAUAACAAAUAUCUCAAGUUUACUUACUUUGAUUCCUUCAGAAAGAAAAAUAGUUUUGAAAUAAUCUUCUCUUUUUUUCUUUCAUCCAAUUGCUAUUUUUAGCUGAUGCUGAAAGUUUAAUGUAUUCUGUCUCUCUUGGCAAUUUAUCUCAGUUUUUUGCUGUCUUUGUUUAUUUAUUUUAUAGUAUUCUUUUGAAAAUAAACAAAUAAAAAAAAUGGUAAUCUGGUUUAUUCUCAUAAAAUAAGGCAGUGCUUUUGGUUUAUAGAAAUUGAACCAAAUAACAGAAUCCAAAGACUGAAACCUGCAAAGUUCUUCCCUUAGUCAAUUUGAAUAUAUUUUCUUUCAUUUCAAAUAUGCUGCUGAACAUUUUAUCUGGAAGGAAUUAAGAGGAGAUCAGAUAAAUGCUUCCUGAUCAAGAUAUUUAUGGAGCGAAGGAUUUACCCAAAUCCUGUAUUCCCAGUUGAGUCUGUCCUAUAUACCCAGGCAUUAAAGAGAGAUCGGUAUUCCCACUUGUGCGAUAAUAUAUUGUGAUUUGGUAAAAAUCUAUUCAAAUGGAAAAAAAUAGGAAAUAACAAAGUUGGGCUUUCACUAGGUGAUGGUGGAUAUUGAAUUUUUCAGAACCAGUUUGCAGUUGGCUGAAAGAUGUUGAUCCUGUAAUGAGAUUCUAACAUAAUUAUAAAUUUGUUUUUAAAGGAGGAAUGAAUUAUGAUCAACUCAAGCAAUCACUAAAAGUGUAUGACUUUUCCAUAGUUGUUAUUGUCUUUAAGGCUUUCAAAUUGAAUGCAUACACCAUGUCAGUGUGAUGUAGCGACCAAUUGGUAGUUUGGGGAGGGAAUCGUUCUAACUUAAAGAGUUGAUUAUUGUGGGGGGAAAAAAAGAAUGCCAGAGAAGUAAAAUUCAGGCAAAUAAUACUUCAGUUAUGACUUCUAAAAAGUUAUUAUCACUACACCGAUAUCAGAACGAAUGAAUGUCAUUAUAAGGACUGCUCCUGAAUUAGCUCUAAUACAAAAAAUGACUAAAAUGUAAUAUUCAAAACAUACUCACUAUUGGAUUUUCUUUUCAGAGUAGUAUUAACUUAAUUUUUUUAAAUUCAUAUAGGCCUACUAGAAGGUCCUUUAUACAUUCAGCGAUUUGUUGAUUAUGAGUAUGUAGAAUAUAUAAACAUUAAGUAUUCUAUAUUUACUUCUGAAUACUUCUGAAUGUCACUAUAGAAGACAGAUUAUUUUAUGAAUUUAAAGAAAAAUUACCCUCCCAUUACCACCUUGUCUUAUUUUUUUAAAAAUUAGAUCAGAUAAUCCUUCCUCUGUCUGAUGAUAUCAUGUGUAAUGCUGCCUACAGUCUCACCAACGAUACCGUCUCCUGGGGGGUGUUUCACAAAGAUUGAAGUAUAGGCCUGGUCACAACGCCCAAACUCUGUUGGAGCGUUCCUUGAACGCUAGGGAUAGGGGGCAGAAUUUCGACAACGUUCGUUAUCACGUACAAAAUGGGUGGAAAAAAUGGAAAACACGGUUUUUGCUUUAGCGGUGCACCGCUGAAGCCGGCAUUGCUUUAGCGGUUGUUUAGCGGUGAUGCGAGAUUUGAUAGAGCGGCAUCCUGUGCAUGCGGGUGUUGGCUCGGCGGGGGUUUAAAGUUGGUUUAGCGGCAUACCGCUUUUGACUACAGAGCUGAACAGAUCGCUUUGAUAGAAGUUCUGAUAGAUUCAAAAUGGGCUCCUGGUCCACUUCUCCCUGUAUUUAUAGCCAAAUGCUGGUCUCGCUCUGACACCUCCAUACCAAUCGCCAAACCAAAGUUCAUCACCGCAAUGGAUUGCUGCUUCAACGCCCGACACCGUUCCACCCAUCCCGUGUCCACUCGUGAAACACUUACAACCGCUCCACCAAAGUUUGUGCAACAUUUAAUCACCACCAGGGCAAAGAUGGCGAAGCAGCGGUGAUCCAGCGUGCAAGAUUUUUGCGUUGGCUUUAAUAGCAGAUGCAAGCGUCCACGAACGUGCGUCUAGCGGUGUCAAACUUUGACUGGCCGUUGUUGGAGCGGUGGUGAACUUCACCACUCGCAAUAUUUUAUAAAUAUUUUAAAACUAGGCAUAGGCAUUUAAGUGUGACUCUACAUCUUACUUAAAUCCUUGUGAAACACCCCCCAGGGCCCUGUAACACAAAGGUUAGCAAUUAAUCGCGUAAUGAAAUGGCCUAUUAAUAUUAUUGUUGCAUGGGCACUUUGCUCAGUUAGAUUCACUAUUAACCAAUCGGAAUUGUUCUUUCAAAUAAGCGAUUAAUCGCUAACCUGUCUUAUGGGCCCCAAGACCAAUCAAAGCUAUUAUUUCAUUAUUCCCAAUGACAUACCAACAGUUAGUCUGUAUGCUGACGUGACUGUAACAUAAAUGGUAGAAGUUCUGUUCUUGAAUUAGCUCUAAUACAAAAAAAUUUACUAAAAUGUAGAAGACCCAAAGGUCGUUAGUACACUGCAACCUUGCUCCUUUAGCACAG